The sequence is a small nuclear RNA, 164 nucleotides long. Its record names the gene U1. It matches the Rfam family "U1 spliceosomal RNA". Rfam says of the family: U1 is a small nuclear RNA (snRNA) component of the spliceosome (involved in pre-mRNA splicing). Its 5' end forms complementary base pairs with the 5' splice junction, thus defining the 5' donor site of an intron. The record is from Ensembl.
AUAAUUACCUGGCAGGGGAGAUACCGUGAUCAAGAAGGCGGUUCCCCCAGGGCGAGGCUCAGCCAUUGCACUUCGGCUGUGCUGACCCCUGCGAAUUCCCCAAAUGUGGGAAUCUCGACUGCGUAAUCUCUGGUAGCGGGGGACUGUGUUCGCGCUUUCCUCUG